Molecule: unclassified non-coding RNA, 247 nt
Filed under: Hevea brasiliensis (rubber tree)
Lineage: Eukaryota; Viridiplantae; Streptophyta; Magnoliopsida; Malpighiales; Euphorbiaceae
Source: RNAcentral
GUGGGAAAUGUAUGUUGGCCCGUCUUCAAUCAUUUUCUGCUUUUCGAAGAUGGGGCAACUCUGAGCAGAGUUCUUUGGCACGCCGAGCAUAGUUGUUAAUACAACGGGUUGAAGGGAUCUAUAAAGCAGCCUCUUUAAUAAUCUACUUCUCUUUCUUUGUACAGGAAGGAAUUGCUACUCUUGCUUCUUCCCGUUCUCAAUUCAUCAUCCAUCAAGAAUUUUCUUCUUCCAUUCUCAAAGGAUAAAU